UACAGAGGUCCCAAGCGUUGUUCGGAUUCACUGGGCGUAAAGGGUGCGUAGGCGGUCGGGUAAGUCUGAUGUGAAAUCUCACAGCUUAACUGUGAAACUGCAUUGGAUACUAUCCGGCUCGAGGAAUGGAGGGGAGACUGGAAUACUUGGUGUAGCAGUGAAAUGCGUAGAUAUCAGGAGGAACACCUGUGGCGAAAGCGGCGCACUGGACCACAACUGACGCUGAGGCGCGAAAGCUAGGGGAGCAAACAGG
Molecule: ribosomal RNA, 253 nt
Filed under: uncultured bacterium
Lineage: Bacteria
Description: partial 16S ribosomal RNA
Rfam family: Bacterial small subunit ribosomal RNA
Source: RNAcentral